UACGUAGGGGGCCAGCGUUGUUCGGAAUUACUGGGUGUAAAGGGUUCGUAGGCGGUGCGGCAAGUUGGGAGUGAAAUCUCUGGGCUCAACCCAGAGACGGCUUCCAAAACUGCUGUGCUUGAGUGUGAGAGAGGCUCGUGGAAUUGCAGGUGUAGCGGUGAAAUGCGUAGAUAUCUGCAGGAACACCCGUGGCGAAAGCGGCGAGCUGGAUCACUACUGACGCUGAAGAACGAAAGCUAGGGGAGCAAACAGG
This 253-nucleotide ribosomal RNA is filed under the name uncultured bacterium. Its description in RNAcentral is "partial 16S ribosomal RNA". It matches the Rfam family "Bacterial small subunit ribosomal RNA", at positions 524 to 776 of the family's 1533-position model. The record is from RNAcentral.